CUGGUUGAUCCUGCCUGUAGCAUAUGCUUGACUUGGAGACUAAGCCAUGCAUGUCUAGGUAUAAGUUAUAUACAGCAAAACUGCGAAUGGCUCAUUAAAACAGUUAUAAUUUCUUUGGUGAUUUUAUUACAUGGAUAACCGUGGGAAACUAGGGCUAAUACAUGCAUAAAGGCCGCAAGGCUGUAUUUAUUAGUCUUAAACCAAUAUGGGUCAACCAUAUUAGAGGAAUCAUAAUAACUUAUCGAAGCGCAGUAAAAUGUGCUACACCAUAUAAGUUUCUGCCCUAUCAGCUCUCGAUGGUAGUGUAUUGGACUACCAUGGCUAUCACGGGUAACGGGGAAUUGGGGUUCGAUUCCGGAGAGGGAGCCUGAGAAACGGCUACCAUUUCUAAGGAAGGCAGCAGGCGCGUAAAUUACCCAAUCCUGACUCAGGGAGGUAGUUAAUAGAAAUAACAUACUCGGUCCUUCGGGACUCUGAGAAUGUAAUGAGGGCAGCUCAAAACACUGUUCGAAUCCUAUUGGAGGGCAAGUCUGGUGCCAGCAGCCGCGGUAAUUCCAGCUCCGAUAGCGUAUGUUAAUGUUGUUGCAGUUAAAACGCUCGUAGUUGAAACUCCGGCGAGUUCUACUCGUCUGCCUGCAAAAACUGACGAUGAAGAAACGAUUUGUCUUUUGGAGCAGGCUUUCACCAUGAACAAAAUAGAGUGCUCAAGGCAGGCUAUUGCUUGAAUAAUUCAGCAUGGAAUGAUAAAAUAGGACUUUAUCCAUUUUAUUGGUUAUCGGGUAAAGUAAUGAUUAACAGAAACAGUUGGGGGCAUCAGUACUUAAUAGUCAGAGGUGAAAUUCUAUGAUUUAUUAAAGACUAACUAAUGCGAAAGCAUUUGCCAAGGAUGUUUUCAUUAAUCAAGAACGAAAGUUAGGGGAUCAAAGACGAUUAGAUACCGUCGUAGUCCUAACCAUAAACUAUGCCGACUAGGGAUUGGUGAGGAAAACCCUCAUCAGCACCUAAUGAGAAAUCAAAGUCUUUGGGCUCUGGGGGGAGUAUGGUCGCAAGGCUGAAACUUAAAGGAAUAGACGGAAAGGCACACCAGGAGUGGAGUCUGCGGCUUAAUUUGAUUCAACACGGGAAAACUUACCAGGGCAAAAAACUGAUAGGAUUGACAGUUUGAUAGCGCUUUCUUGAUCCGGUAGCAAGUGGUGCAUGGCCGUUCUUAGUUGGUGGAGUGAUUUGUCAGGU
RNAcentral lists this ribosomal RNA (1233 nucleotides) under metagenome. Its description in RNAcentral is "SSU rRNA". It matches the Rfam family "Eukaryotic small subunit ribosomal RNA", at positions 4 to 1319 of the family's 1831-position model. The record is from RNAcentral.